Molecule: ribosomal RNA, 165 nt
Filed under: Crassocephalum crepidioides
Lineage: Eukaryota; Viridiplantae; Streptophyta; Magnoliopsida; Asterales; Asteraceae
Description: 5.8S ribosomal RNA
Rfam family: 5.8S ribosomal RNA
About the family: 5.8S ribosomal RNA (5.8S rRNA) is a component of the large subunit of the eukaryotic ribosome. It is transcribed by RNA polymerase I as part of the 45S precursor that also contains 18S and 28S rRNA.
Source: RNAcentral
UAAACGACUCUCGGCAACGGAUAUCUCGGCUCACGCAUCGAUGAAGAACGUAGCAAAAUGCGAUACUUGGUGUGAAUUGCAGAAUCCCGUGAACCAUCGAGUUUUUGAACGCAAGUUGCGCCCGAAGCCUUUUGGUUGAGGGCACGUCUGCCUGGGCGUCACAUA